This 258-nucleotide ribosomal RNA is filed under the name uncultured bacterium. RNAcentral's name for it is "partial 16S ribosomal RNA". It matches the Rfam family "Bacterial small subunit ribosomal RNA", at positions 1242 to 1500 of the family's 1533-position model. The record is from RNAcentral.
GAGAGACGCAAGGCUGCGAAGCGGAGCAAAACUCUAAAACCGGUCCCAGUUCGGAUUGCAGGCUGCAACUCGCCUGCAUGAAGUUGGAGUUGCUAGUAAUCGCGGAUCAGAAUGCCGCGGUGAAUGCGUUCCCGGGUCUUGUACACACCGCCCGUCACACCAUGGGAGUCGGAAAUGCCCGAAGUCAGUGACCUAACCGAAAGGAAGGAGCUGCCGAAGGUGGAGCCGGUAACUGGGGUGAAGUCGUAACAAGGUACC